AGAGUUUGAUCCUGGCUCAGGACGAACGCUUGCGGCGUGCCUAAGAAAUGCAAGUCGAGCGAGGUUAGGAAGCUUGCUUCCAAAGCCUAGCGGCGAACGGUCGCGUAACACGUAAGCAACCUGCCCCUAAGCGGGGGAUAGCCCUCCGAAAGGAGGAUUAAUACCGCAUGUGAACACUGAUCUGCAUGGGUUGGUGUUUAAAGUGGAAACACACUUAGGGAUGGGCUUGCGGCCUAUCAGCUAGUUGGUGGGGUAACGGCCUACCAAGGCGACGACGGGUAGCUGGUCUGAGAGGAUGGUCAGCCGGACUGGGACUGAGAUACGGCCCAGACUCCUACGGGGGGCAGCAAUUAGGAAUCUUGCGCAAUGGGCGAAAGCCUGACGCAGCGACGCCGCGUGAAGGAUGACGGCCUUCGGGUUGUAAACUUCUUUUAUCAGGGAAGAAGGAUGUGACGGUACCUGAUGAAUAAGCCCCGGCUAACUACGUGCCAGCAGCCGCGGUAAUACGUAGGGGGCGAGCGUUGUCCGAAUUUACUGGGCGUAAAGCGCGCGUAGGCGGACCUUUAAGUUGAUGGUGAAAUCCCGAGGCUCAACCUCGGAACUGCCUUCAAAACUGGAGGACUUGAGGUAUGGAGAGGGAAGUGGAAUUCCUGGUGUAGCGGUGAAAUGCGUAGAUAUCAGGAGGAACACCCGUGGCGAAGGCGGCUUCCUGGCCAUAUCCUGACGCUGAGGUGCGAAAGCUAGGGUAGCGAACGGGAUUAGAUACCCCGGUAGUCCUAGCCGUAAACGAUGGAUAUUAGGUGUUAGAGGUAUCGACCCCUCUAGUGCCGCAGCUAACGCAAUAAGUAUCCCGCCUGGGGAGUACGGGCCGCAAGGUUGAAACUCAAAUGAAAUUGACGG
Molecule: ribosomal RNA, 900 nt
Filed under: uncultured bacterium
Lineage: Bacteria
Description: bacterial SSU rRNA
Rfam family: Bacterial small subunit ribosomal RNA
Source: RNAcentral